Molecule: long non-coding RNA, 644 nt
Filed under: Dromaius novaehollandiae (emu)
Lineage: Eukaryota; Metazoa; Chordata; Aves; Casuariiformes; Dromaiidae
Description: lncRNA (ENSDNVG00000003636.1)
Source: RNAcentral
CUGACCUUUUUUUUUYUCUCUCUCUUUCUUUUUGCUUUUUUUCUGUGGUAACCCUUUUACCUUCUUUUCCCUGCUUAGACCCAUUAGCAGGAUGUUGUGCAAUAUGGUGCUUGUCAUCUGUUUCAAAGACACAGUGAUGAGAUACAGGUAUGCCAGAUGGAUAAACCUAGUGUGACUAAUUAUUGUGUAUUUGCCUUUAAUUAUUAUCAUUUAUUACCAGAGAAAAGACAAUAGAGKUUCCCAGACUCGGAAGGGAAUGUGGGCAGAAGGGGAAUUUUUUUUCUUUUUUUCAAGAGAUUGGUACGUCAGCAAGAAAAGUUUUCUUCCUGGGGAGAAAUACAAGCAAACAUGAAGACAAGAGGACUCAGCGUGAUCCAUGUAAUGCUCUCCUUUCCCUGACGUGUACUCAAGAAUCAGCUAUCUCACAGCUCCUGCGCUUAAGCCACAGAAAAAGUAGGACACUGGCACCAUAGAAACCAUUUGCCCCACACCUCUGUGCGGUUCCUGCAGGCCUGGGAGGAAAUCUGCCUGGAGGACCCGCAACGUCCUGUCCCGAGCUCCCUGAGGUGCGUUACGACUGCGAACACUGCCUCUUUCUCAGAGCAGCGUUUAAGCGUGAGUAUUUAUCUYAGGAAAAAACAAAC